GUUGAGACACCCAAGUAAUCCUGCACCACUCCUAAAAUUUUCAGAAUCCUCAGAAUCAGGAUCAGGGCCCCUAAAACUCAGGGGGGGGGGGGUAUUCCCCACUUGACGAUUAUCCAUAAUAAUUUGCUGUCAAAAUUUGAAAUUAUCAUUUCAUCGAAUCAGCUAACCUAUCAAUGCACGUAGCAAGCCUAUGACGAAUCGUGGCCCGUCGCGUCACGCGGCGCCCCCUAUGGACCCCUCGCGUCACGCGAGAGGGUCAAUUUUCAGCUAUAAAUAGCUUGGUUCACAAGCUGUUCGUCUGUGUCAAAACUAAUUCACAAAAGUGAAUUCUCACCACUCAAAAUUCAAAUUUAAGAUAUCGGGGUACUGCUACGAUACCGGGUAUUAACUUGAUCGCUGCUACGAUUCAAUAUCCGAUCAACUGAAACUAUCCAACAGGAUGUUUAAGUGUUAUCCUUUGUCAUUAAUCGUGAUUCCGACAGGAUGUUUGAGUGCCGCCCAAACUCGGGGUGGACUCUGUCAUUCGUUGUGAAUCCGAUGGAUGUUUAAGUGAUUUCAUUUUGUCAUUCGUCGUGAGGGUUUUAGUCUCGUGAAUUUAUCGUAAAUGCUGUAUUAGUUAUUUACCUAGUUUUGUGUGCAUUAUCGCUUAAAUUAGGUUAUCAGGCUUAUCAUUAGACUAAACACUACCCCUUACACUUACAAUCAAAGUAGAUGCUAAUUCUCAAAACAAUCUGAAUCAUGAAGCUUGUCAAUUCAAUACUGCAUGUUUAUAAUGUAAUUACAGUAGAUUGGAGUAAGAAUUGGAUCCGGCACUGAAGGACUUCAAGAAGUGGCUUAUUUUAUUAAUUAAAUCAACUUAAAAAAAAUAUUGUUUUUGGGUUUAUCCCGUAUUAAAAGCUACCUUUGUAAAACAUGGAAUUUAU
RNAcentral lists this long non-coding RNA (923 nucleotides) under Helianthus annuus (common sunflower). RNAcentral describes it as "sRNA HanXRQr2_Chr14g0637991". Lineage: Eukaryota; Viridiplantae; Streptophyta; Magnoliopsida; Asterales; Asteraceae. The record is from RNAcentral.